RNAcentral lists this ribosomal RNA (449 nucleotides) under uncultured bacterium. RNAcentral describes it as "partial 16S ribosomal RNA". It matches the Rfam family "Bacterial small subunit ribosomal RNA", at positions 29 to 523 of the family's 1533-position model. The record is from RNAcentral.
AAUGAACGCUGGCGGCAGGCCUAACACAUGCAAGUCGAACGGAUCCUUCGGGAUUAGUGGCGGACGGGUGAGUAACGCGUGGGAACAUACCCAAAGGUACGGAAUAGCCUCGGGAAACUGGGAGUAAUACCGUAUGUGCUCGAAAGAGGAAAGAUUUAUCGCCUUUGGAUUGGCCCGCGUUGGAUUAGGUGGUUGGUGGGGUAAUGGCCUACCAAGCCGACGAUCCAUAGCUGGUUUGAGAGGAUGAUCAGCCACACUGGGACUGAGACACGGCCCAGACUCCUACGGGAGGCAGCAGUGGGGAAUCUUAGACAAUGGGGGAAACCCUGAUCUAGCCAUGCCGCGUGAUCGAUGAAGGCCUUAGGGUUGUAAAGAUCUUUCAGGUCGGAAGAUAAUGACUGUACCACCAGAAGAAGCCCCGGCUAACUCCGUGCCAGCCGCCGCGGUAA